AGCAGCAUGGUUUAGUGGAAAGAGCACAGGCUUGGGAGUCAGAGGACAUGGGUUCUAAUCCUACUGCUGCUA
This 72-nucleotide transfer RNA is filed under the name Ornithorhynchus anatinus (platypus). It matches the Rfam family "tRNA". Rfam says of the family: Transfer RNA (tRNA) molecules are approximately 80 nucleotides in length. Their secondary structure includes four short double-helical elements and three loops (D, anti-codon, and T loops). Lineage: Eukaryota; Metazoa; Chordata; Mammalia; Monotremata; Ornithorhynchidae. The record is from Rfam by way of RNAcentral.